ACGGGUGAGUAACGCGUGGGAACGUGCCUUCUGGUUCGGAAUAACUCAGGGAAACUUGAGCUAAUACCGGAUACGCCCUUUUUGGGGAAAGGUUUACUGCCGGAAGAUCGGCCCGCGUCUGAUUAGCUAGUUGGUGGGGUAACGGCCUACCAAGGCGACGAUCAGUAGCUGGUCUGAGAGGAUGAUCAGCCACACUGGGACUGAGACACGGCCCAGACUCCUACGGGAGGCAGCAGUGGGGAAUAUUGGACAAUGGGCGCAAGCCUGAUCCAGCCAUGCCGCGUGAGUGAUGAAGGCCUUAGGGUUGUAAAGCUCUUUUAUCCGGGACGAUAAUGACGGUACCGGAGGAAUAAGCCCCGGCUAACUUCGUGCCAGCAGCCGCGGUAAUACGAAGGGGGCUAGCGUUGCUCGGAAUCACUGGGCGUAAAGGGCGCGUAGGCGGUCUUUUAAGUCGGGGGUGAAAGCCUGUGGCUCAACCACAGAAUUGCCUUCGAUACUGGGAGACUUGAGUUCGGAAGAGGUUGGUGGAACUGCGAGUGUAGAGGUGAAAUUCGUAGA
RNAcentral lists this ribosomal RNA (558 nucleotides) under uncultured bacterium. Its description in RNAcentral is "bacterial SSU rRNA". It matches the Rfam family "Bacterial small subunit ribosomal RNA", at positions 102 to 694 of the family's 1533-position model. The record is from RNAcentral.